Long non-coding RNA from Nothoprocta perdicaria, 198 nucleotides. RefSeq lists it as uncharacterized. NCBI's taxonomy places the organism in Eukaryota, Metazoa, Chordata, Aves, Tinamiformes, Tinamidae. The transcript has 3 exons. The record is from RefSeq and is a predicted model, not a curated record.
GUCCUGUUGAAGAACUCUGUGUUGAUCUAGUGGUUUCCCCUGCUGGGUUGCUUGGAGGAAGUGCUGCUGCUGCUGCUUGAUCUGAAAGCGUGCUGAGAUUCUGUUCUUCAAGCUGAGACCAAGCAACUGACAGCUGAAUGGAAACACGGCUUGCUGUGAGUGAAGGGGAUUUCCAACGAAUUUGGCCUUCCUGUUUAG